This is a long non-coding RNA of Aegilops tauschii subsp. strangulata, 2500 nucleotides long. RefSeq lists it as uncharacterized. NCBI's taxonomy places the organism in Eukaryota, Viridiplantae, Streptophyta, Magnoliopsida, Poales, Poaceae. The record is from RefSeq and is a predicted model, not a curated record.
CCGUCGCACGAUAAUAAUCCAAUCCCGCUCCCCGCGAGUCUCCCAUCGAUACGCUUCUCGGCCGCCGCCACAGCGCCACCCCCAGCUCCCACUACGCCGCUCCCUCCACCGGCGCGACAUCUCCUCCAUCCGCUGGUCGUCGCGCCGUACCCCGCACGCUGCCGCCCACGCCUCCUCACUCCUUCGUCGGCCCUUCUGCACCGAUUGUGCCGGACAAUGUCGUCGCCGCUUCGUCGAGGGACCACGCCCCGAUUUGUCGGCGAGCAAUAUUGGAUGAUUAGCGGCGGCUACCAACACCAUGGCGCAGUCAGGGCAGCUCUCGGGCAACAGUGGAUCGGGCUCGGUUAGAAACUUUUAAUUUACUUGGAUGUGCUUCAUGCUCGGGCAGUAUAAUAGUCUAAACUGCAUUGUGUAACAAGUUCCACCUGCGUGCACAGGGUAUCUUCAAGGUUCAUGCUCUGAAUAUAAAUAAGAUUGACCAAGACAGCGAAUUGAUUGUAAAGAACGCGGAGAAAUUGGCUUCUGUUGCUUAUCUUAAACACUAUAUGGAUUAGAAGCUCUCGACCAUUCCUGAUCGAGAUUAGCCUUUGGAUGAUCCAAAACACCAUCCAGGAUGAUGGGCGAGUACAUCCCUGUUGCUUCAAUCUUGCAGUUCGUAAGCCUGCUUGCGCCGAAGUAGAGAGGAAUGCAAGCACUGGCUUUCUUGGAAGCAGGCACUUUUCCAUGCUCAAGCAUGAGCCCUAAGGCAGUCUUGGAUGUAACAAGAAAACCGCACCACGACGCUGGUUGGCCAUGUCAUAGGCCUUUUCCGUAAUCCGACGCGUUCAACUCUACAAUUGACUAUGCUGAUUCAUACGUCCAUCAACCCAUAACAAACCGAGGAAGCCCUAUUGCUGAAGCAAAAUUUUAGCAAUGUGUUGCAAGCGAGGAACCCUGGUUGGAGUGCCCAAUUCAUGGAUUGGCCAGAAGACAACAUUUUAAUUACAGACCCAUGACCCUGGAUUCAAAUUCCUACAGAAAAUGGACCAUCAGUAUGGUACUCUCAGGCAUGACAUGUUUAGAACUGACGUAAGUAUAUCUAUAGUGAGUUUUGGUGUGCCAUAUAUUUGCUAAAUAUAUGUACUGAGUUCGGCAGAGUCAUCUCAUAUUACUGGUAUGAGAGCAUUGCACAUGCUCCAUCGAAUAACUAUUUAUUAGUAAUUUCGAACUACAAUCGCCUAAUGUAAGGACUCUUUUUUUUGUACCUCUAGAAAUAUUUUAGUUGUGAUCUGAAAAUUUGUAUCCUUUAUCAAGCACAAGAUCAAUGGGUACAACUUUUAGAAGUACAUUUGUUUAGUGUUACCUAAGAGAUGUUUUUGGUUCAUAAGAUAUUGCUUUUUCUUGACUAUUUAACUUAGUUUCUGAAUGGGCACUUUUCUCUUCAAAUAAAACAUAUCAUUUUACUUAUUUGAUUAAUGUUUAUUUAGUUGUAUAAACAAAGCACUCGUGUUGUUGAUUGUUAUAGGUGACAUACUAAUUGGAACCUUAGUCAUAGUCAUGGUUGGAACUUCUUUUCUUAGGAUUUUCUUUGAUUGACAUAUUAUUUGUCGGGGUUGAUUAUUGAUUAUAUCUGUGUAAUGUGUAACUUAUCAUGUUCCUAACAACACCCUCCGUCCCAAAAUUCUUCUCUUAGAUUUGUCUAGAUACGGAUGUAUCUAACACUAAAACGUAACUAGAUACAUCCGUAUUUAGACAAAUCUAAGACAAGAAUUUUGGGACAGAGGGAGUAUUAUUCAAUGCAAACAGUUGUUCAAGAGGAACCUGUCUGGAACUUUGGCACCAUCUGCAGUCCUUUCUCCCAGUUGAAAACACUCCAAGAGUUGAUAAUUAAUGGAAUUUGUUGUGCCCAAAGGUAAAACCAGAGAGUAUUAGAAACAUCAUCGACAUGAAAGCAAACUUUGGAUCAUGUGCGAACAUGGAGAGAGGAAGAUCGAUGAGACCUUGAAGAAUCAUGUGGUUGACAUUUCAACUUCGGAUAGAAGGUUUUCCGCAUUAUGUUGGUUGGCUUUCAUUAAGAUCAAUGAGUCAUCCGCAAAGAGAAGAUUUGUGACCGGUGGGGCGUCUCUACAGACUUUUACUCCUGAUAUGUUUCCAUUCUUCUCAGCAUGCACAAGCAAGGCAUUCAAUUCUUAUGUGCACAGCAAAAAAAGGAAUCAUCACGAUCGCCGUAUCAUUCCAACCCUCCGGUAUAGUGCAUGUGUUGAUUGCUGUCAGAACAUCCUCCCAGCAUGGGCCAAAACCUUUUAUAGAAGAUAGCAUGGAGUCCAUCUGGCCCUGGAGCUUUCAAGUCCCCAAUAUCAAAUAAAGCCUUGCGAACAUCUUCCGCGGUAUAAGGGGCAAGUAGAACAUCAUUCAUUUCGUUUGACACUCUCCUUUGAACAAGUGAUAAAACAUCUUGAUUCGGGUGUUGAACUUCCGAUGUAAAAAGCUUUGUAAAAUAUCCAGUAAUGUGAUUCGUCAA